RNAcentral lists this ribosomal RNA (489 nucleotides) under uncultured bacterium. RNAcentral's name for it is "partial 16S ribosomal RNA". It matches the Rfam family "Bacterial small subunit ribosomal RNA", at positions 30 to 506 of the family's 1533-position model. The record is from RNAcentral.
AUUGAACGCUGGCGGCAGGCCUAACACAUGCAAGUCGAAUGGUAACAGGAAACAGCUUGCUGUUUCGCUGACGAGUGGCGGACGGGUGAGUAAUGUCUGGGAAACUGCCUGAUGGAGGGGGAUAACUACUGGAAACGGUAGCUAAUACCGCAUAACGUCGCAAGACCAAAGAGGGGGACCUUCGGGCCUCUUGCCAUCAGAUGUGCCCAGAUGGGAUUAGCUAGUAGGUGGGGUAACGGCUCACCUAGGCGACGAUCCCUAGCUGGUCUGAGAGGAUGACCAGCCACACUGGAACUGAGACACGGUCCAGACUCCUACGGGAGGCAGCAGUGGGGAAUAUUGCACAAUGGGCGCAAGCCUGAUGCAGCCAUGCCGCGUGUAUGAAGAAGGCCUUCGGGUUGUAAAGUACUUUCAGCGGGGAGGAAGGGAGUAAAGUUAAUACCUUUGCUCAUUGACGUUACCCGCAGAAGAAGCACCGGCGAACUCCGU